Molecule: long non-coding RNA, 2354 nt
Filed under: Homo sapiens (human)
Lineage: Eukaryota; Metazoa; Chordata; Mammalia; Primates; Hominidae
Description: non-protein coding lnc-CCDC59-8:3
Source: RNAcentral
CUUUCACCUUCGAUUUCACUCUGGAAAGCCCCCGGGACCCAAGGGCGACGGCUGGAAGACAGCCCAAAGGAGUAGAUACAGUGCACCCUGGGAGGGGAAGCUGGGAGAAAGGAGGUCGAGGAGGAGGUGGUCGGUCGCCCCGCUGCUGCCUGGCAGCGCCUGGCACGGCUGAAUCUCAGCCACAGCGCUGUGUGUGCCAAGAGCUGCCAGGCGUAAGUCCGGUCAGCUGGAGAGACUUCUGAGACCGGGAGAGGAAGAACAGUACAGCCUGAUGCCUAUGGGCUCCUUUGGCUGUAUUCCCACCCAGCAGAUUGAAUCUCCUUGGAUAGCCAUACCUGCUGGAAUCAGCCCAACUUCAUCACGCAUCUUUGGACUCUGUAUGCUGGACUGCGAGAGAGUUCCCUCAUGAAAUCACCCAACAGCUGGGAGAAUGGAGCAACCCCACUUGUCAUCUGUUCACUCAGUAUCCAUCUAUGCUGUUGGUUCUGUAAGAUUUCCCUUGAGAUUAAAAUGUUGAAAGACAGCUUCAUUCUUUCCGUGCUCCAGUCCUUUUCAUAACACCUGCUCCAUAAAUGCACAUCACUCAAGUGGAAUUGUAUUUUGUGUAAAUCUGGUUUGAUAAACUGUAAAAAUGGCAAAACAUACAUUUAAAGAAGUUGGCAUUCAUAUAUCAUGCUGGGUACUUCUUUAAAAAAUAAUUCUAAACUAUGGCAUAUCAUUAAGAGGAGAAGGAUAGAACUGCCAGAGAGAAAAGGCCUUCAGUCCAGAUGAAGUUAUGACUUUGUGCAGUGAGUUCCUUCCUCUGGAAAGAAGUAUUAGCUGCAAUAAUCUGGCCACAUUCCAAGUUGGUCAAUGGUAUGCUGCCUCCCUAAAUUCUGCAGCUUCGAUUACAUUCAUUGUCCUAGUGCACUUCCUGUCAGGAAUGGUCGCAUUGAUCUGCCAGUUAAAACAGCUGUUGCUUCUGAUGCAUGAGAAACUACUAAAGUCAGUCUCUUAUCCAUCACCGAUGUAGGAGUUAGAAAUUGAAAGCCCAGUGACCAGGAGAGACAGAGGUAGAGAGAGAGAGAGAGAGAGAGAGAGAGAAAGGAAGAGAAAGGAAGAAGAAGAAGAAGAGGAAGAGGAAGAGGAAGAAGAAGAAGAGGAAGAGGAAGAAGAGGAAGAGGAGGAAGAGCAGGAAGAGGGAGAAGAGAGAGAACAUCGUUCUGAAGUAUUUUCAACUGCUCUUCAUUUAUUUUAAUAUAUUCCCUCAACUUGUCUAUUAAUUGGCAAAAAAACAACUUGAUUACACUUAUUUUGAGUUUUUAAGAUUUUCCAGACAUUCCAAUUAGAAUAGACUGACCUACUUUUCUUGGUGAUAACACAAAAGAGAUUAGUUUUGUCAGUUGUACUGUGUAUCUAAAAAUCAGCACCACAAAAGCCAUAUAUUGAACACUUUUUGUUAGCAUGAUGCUAUUUUGCCUAAUACAUAUUCUUGCCUUGUAAAACACCCAAAAUUUUGCUUCCAUAUAAAUAUGCUGAUCACAAAAUAAUCUUUACCUUUUUUAAAAAUAAUAAGAUGAUCUAUGUCUAUUUUCCCAUUCCCAGGCAGAGAAGAAAUAAGAACUGCAUUUUGCCCCCAGUUAAGCUACACAUAUUGCUUGAUGUUUUUCUCCACUUCCACAUUGAGCAUCAAGAUAUUUAAAACUUCCAACAGCCUGAAAAUAUUCAAGUAAAUUGAAUGGGGUAAAAAAAAAACCAAAAUUUUGCCUUUUAUGGUUAAAGACAAAUUCCCCAAACAGUGCAGGCACACAGUGGUUUCAUAGUUAGUGCUUACUGGACUGAAUUAUUGCAUCCUUUUUCUGCAUUUAUUUCUAGGAAGCAGUUUAAAGUACAAAAUAUAUUUAAAUAUUGAUUUUUUUAAGAAAACCUUGGCUUCUAUGAUGAAGUCCAACUUAACAGCAUAUGUUAAAUCAUUAAUUCUAUUAGAAAGUGAUGAGUACCAACAGUAGAGAGAAAUAUGCUACAGUUACUUGUUUAUACACAGUCUUCCUAUUUUUAUAUAUUUUUUUAGUUACUAAAAUGGAACCAUAAGCCAGAGGGCAAUGCGUUCUUUCUCUCUACCACCAGAUGCACACAAUUGAACUAUUGCUUACAAGGAGGAUCCUUGUUAUUUCACAUGCGAUCAUCAAGAAACACAUGGAGAGUGAUUAUGUGUUCUACGUCCUGCUGACUGUUUCAAAGCAAAUAAAAGUUCAUCUGUAUUUUCUGAAUUUUGAUUUGUAAACAAUGAUCACUUAGAAUGAGUAAGAUGCAGCUUCAGAAAUAUCUGAUUAUGUGUUCUACGUCCUGCUGACUGUUUUAAAGCAAAUAAAAGU